RNAcentral lists this transfer RNA (59 nucleotides) under Plecotus auritus (brown big-eared bat). Its description in RNAcentral is "partial tRNA-Gln". It matches the Rfam family "tRNA", at positions 14 to 71 of the family's 71-position model. Rfam says of the family: Transfer RNA (tRNA) molecules are approximately 80 nucleotides in length. Their secondary structure includes four short double-helical elements and three loops (D, anti-codon, and T loops). Lineage: Eukaryota; Metazoa; Chordata; Mammalia; Chiroptera; Vespertilionidae. The record is from RNAcentral.
GAUAGGUUGCACAAAGAAUUUUGAAUUCUUAGGGGUAGGUUCAAUUCCUAUAAUUCUAG